UACAGAGGCCUCGAGCGUUAGGCGGAAUCACUGGGCUUAAAGCGUGUGUAGGCGGAUUGGUAAGUACCUUGUGAAAUCCCACAGCUUAACUGUGGAACUGCUCGGUAUACUGCUGAUCUUGAGCCACUCAGGGGCUACCGGAACAAAUGGUGGAGCGGUGAAAUGCGUAGAUAUCAUUUGGAACGCCAAUGGUGAAAACAGGUAGCUGGGGGUGUGCUGACGCUGA
This 226-nucleotide ribosomal RNA is filed under the name uncultured prokaryote. RNAcentral describes it as "partial 16S ribosomal RNA". It matches the Rfam family "Bacterial small subunit ribosomal RNA", at positions 524 to 749 of the family's 1533-position model. The record is from RNAcentral.